This 448-nucleotide ribosomal RNA is filed under the name uncultured bacterium. Its description in RNAcentral is "partial 16S ribosomal RNA". It matches the Rfam family "Bacterial small subunit ribosomal RNA", at positions 29 to 524 of the family's 1533-position model. The record is from RNAcentral.
AACGAACGCUGGCGGCAGGCCUAACACAUGCAAGUCGAACGCCCAGCAAUGGGAGUGGCGCACGGGUGAGUAACGCGUGGGAAUGUACCCUUUAGUACGGAAUAGCCUCGGGAAACUGGGAUUAAUACCGUAUACGCCCUUCGGGGGAAAGAUUUAUCGCUAAAGGAUCAGCCCGCGUGAGAUUAGAUAGUUGGUGGGGUAAUGGCCUACCAAGUCUACGAUCUCUAGCUGGUCUGAGAGGACGACCAGCCACACUGGAACUGAGACACGGUCCAGACCCCUACGGGAGGAAGCGGGGGGAAAUUUGGGAAAAGGGGAGAAAGCCUGACCCAGCCAUGCCGGGUGAGUGAUGAAGGCUUUAGGGUUGUAAAGCUCUUUCGGGGGUGACGAUAAUGACGGUACCCACAAAAGAAGCCCCGGCUAACUUCGUGCCAGCGGCCGCCCGCAG